Molecule: ribosomal RNA, 635 nt
Filed under: Limosilactobacillus oris
Lineage: Bacteria; Bacillati; Bacillota; Bacilli; Lactobacillales; Lactobacillaceae
Description: bacterial SSU rRNA
Rfam family: Bacterial small subunit ribosomal RNA
Source: RNAcentral
UGAUGGAGCAACACCGCGUGAGUGAAGAAGGGUUUCGGCUCGUAAAACUCUGUUGUUGGAGAAGAACGUGCGUAAGAGUAACUGUUUACGCAGUGACGGUAUCCAACCAGAAAGUCACGGCUAACUACGUGCCAGCAGCCGCGGUAAUACGUAGGUGGCAAGCGUUAUCCGGAUUUAUUGGGCGUAAAGCGAGCGCAGGCGGUUGCUUAGGUCUGAUGUGAAAGCCUUCGGCUUAACCGAAGAAGUGCAUCGGAAACCGGGCGACUUGAGUGCAGAAGAGGACAGUGGAACUCCAUGUGUAGCGGUGGAAUGCGUAGAUAUAUGGAAGAACACCAGUGGCGAAGGCGGCUGUCUGGUCUGCAACUGACGCUGAGGCUCGAAAGCAUGGGUAGCGAACAGGAUUAGAUACCCUGGUAGUCCAUGCCGUAAACGAUGAGUGCUAGGUGUUGGAGGGUUUCCGCCCUUCAGUGCCGAAGCUAACGCAUUAAGCACUCCGCCUGGGGAGUACGACCGCAAGGUUGAAACUCAAAGGAAUUGACGGGGGCCCGCACAAGCGGUGGAGCAUGUGGUUUAAUUCGAAGCUACGCGAAGAACCUUACCAGGUCUUGACAUCUUGCGCCAACCUCAGAGAUGAG